GGCCGCCUACGUGCUGCAGUUGUGCUCGCCUUCUUUUAAACGCCCCGCAGAGCUCGCCUGGCGUGAGAGGCUCACUUCAUCUCGUCAAAUCUGCACACUGGGAGGCAAGCUGAUCCCUCUCCUCGCUGUCCGUCGCGGUGGAGAGGCUAGGUUUGUUCAGCUUGCUUUCACUACAUUAGUAUACCCUGCAUUGAUUUUGGGAUACAUGGGCCAAGCUGCGUAUUUAUCACAACACCAUGCUCUCGACUCAACAUACCAAAUUGGGUACUAUAUCUCAGUCCAGAAAGUGUAAGCUGGCAUGUGCUUGUGCGGGCGAUUUUGGCAUCGGUUGUUGGAAGCCAAGCAAUCAGCAGUGGAACAUUCUCCAUCAUCAACCAGAGCCAGUCCUUCAGUUGCUUCCCAAGAGUGAAAGUCGUGCACACAUAUGAAAAUCCAUGGCCAGAUUUACAUCCCUGAGAUCAGCUGGCUGUUCAUGGUCCCUUGCAUUGCUGUGACUGUCGGAUUUCGUGAUACCAAGCAUAUGGGAAAUGCAUCUGGCGAUAAACGAUCUACUUGAUCCUACUGGACAAAAUCUGCGUGUGAGGGAAGAUGCACAGUUACUCAUGGUCUCUAUGGAUGAUGGGGAUGAUUCACCAUAUCAGGUCACCACGAAGAAGAAGCAUCAUUACGUAGGGCACGAAAAUGCUAUCAAAAUUGUCUAUGAGUACAUACGUGAUGACCAUCGUGUUAUUGAGACUUACAUGGAAAAGUUCAGCAACGGGAAGGGGCCAUAAGGAAAUGAUUCACGCUGGUCUUCUCCUGUUGAGAGAAUAAUGAAGAUCUUCAAGGACAAUAUACUGUAGUUGAGGUCUAUAACUGUAUAUCUAGUGAUUUCAAUGAUUUUGGAAUACUGUACCGACCCAAAUAUCAGGUUAUAUAUAUAUAUG
Molecule: long non-coding RNA, 926 nt
Organism: Oryza brachyantha (malo sina)
Lineage: Eukaryota; Viridiplantae; Streptophyta; Magnoliopsida; Poales; Poaceae
Exons: 5
Source: RefSeq, a predicted model, not a curated record